RNAcentral lists this unclassified non-coding RNA (372 nucleotides) under soil metagenome. RNAcentral describes it as "partial contains 5.8S ribosomal RNA, internal transcribed spacer 2, and large subunit ribosomal RNA". The stretch from base 1 to 120 matches the Rfam family "5.8S ribosomal RNA", at positions 35 to 154 of the family's 154-position model. The record is from RNAcentral.
GAUGAAGAACGCAGCGAAAUGCGAUAAGUAAUGUGAAUUGCAGAAUUCAGUGAAUCAUCGAAUCUUUGAACGCACAUUGCGCCCGGCAGCAAUCUGCCGGGCAUGCCUGUCCGAGCGUCAUUUCUUCCCUCGAGCGCGGCUAGCCCUACGGGGCCUGCCGUCGCCCGGUGUUGGGGCUCUACGGGUGGGGCUCGUCCCCCCCGCAGUCCCCGAAAUGUAGUGGCGGUCCAGCCGCGGCGCCCCCUGCGUAGAAGAUCCUACAUCUCGCAUCGGGUCCCGGCGAAGGCCAGCCGUCGAACCUUUUAUUUCAUGGUUUGACCUCGGAUCAGGUAGGGUUACCCGCUGAACUUAAGCAUAUCAAUAAGCGGAGGA